This 433-nucleotide ribosomal RNA is filed under the name uncultured bacterium. RNAcentral's name for it is "partial 16S ribosomal RNA". It matches the Rfam family "Bacterial small subunit ribosomal RNA", at positions 29 to 507 of the family's 1533-position model. The record is from RNAcentral.
AACGAACGCUGGCGGCAUGCCUAACACAUGCAAGUCGAACGAGACCUUCGGGUCUAGUGGCGCACGGGUGCGUAACGCGUGGGAACCUGCCCUUAGGUUCGGAAUAACUCACCGAAAGGGGUGCUAAUACCGGAUAAUGUCUUCGGACCAAAGAUUUAUCGCCUUUGGAUGGGCCCGCGUUGGAUUAGCUAGUUGGUAGGGUAAAAGCCUACCAAGGCGACGAUCCAUAGCUGGUCUGGGAGGAUGAUCAGGCACACUGGGACUGAGACACGGCCCAGACUCCUACGGGAGGCAGCAGUAGGGAAUAUUGGACAGUGGGCGAAAGCCUGAUCCAGCAAUGCCGCGUGAGUGAUGAAGGCCUUAGGGUUGUAAAUCUCUUUUACCCGGGAUGAUAAUGACAGUACCGGGUGAAUAAGCUCCGGCUAACUCCGUG